Molecule: long non-coding RNA, 577 nt
Organism: Hibiscus syriacus
Lineage: Eukaryota; Viridiplantae; Streptophyta; Magnoliopsida; Malvales; Malvaceae
Exons: 4
Source: RefSeq, a predicted model, not a curated record
CACGCGCUAAGCGCGUGUUAAAUUACUUUCUCUAUUUUAGAAGCUUUUUAGGUGAUUCCCCAUUCCAAAAAGUCGCGUGUUUUAGGGUUAGGGCUCUUAGUUUUCUCUCUCCCCAAUUUCUCUGAUCUAUUCUAAUUUCAGGCGUUAACAUGUCUUCCAAGCAAGGUGGUAAAGCGAAGCCUUUGAAGCAACCUAAAACUGCAAAGAAAGAAUAUGACGAGGUUGAUAUGGCUAACAUUCAGAAAAAGAAGGAAGAAGAGAAGGCUCUUAAGGAGCUGAAAGCAAAGGCACAAAAGGGGCCGGUUGGUGGUGCAGGACUUAAGAAGAGUGGGAAGAAAUGAGGAUUUAAAACUCAUCAAAUCACAAACUGCUGUGGCUUGUGUUUGUGAGUAAAACUUCUAUUCUGAUGACAUCCUUUGUUUUAGUUUGAUGGGCUAGGACAUCAUUUGGAAUGAUCUGAUGCUCUAGUUUCAUAAUUUAAUUUGCCGCAAAACCUUUUGUGAAAGUUCGAUAUUGUAAAACUUAAUAAACUGAAGUUGUAUACUGUUUGUGCUUUUGUGUCUGCGUUUUCAUAUUA